Ornithorhynchus anatinus (platypus) is the source of this 95-nucleotide non-coding RNA. RefSeq annotates it as microRNA mir-30e. The record is from RefSeq and is marked provisional. NCBI's taxonomy places the organism in Eukaryota, Metazoa, Chordata, Mammalia, Monotremata, Ornithorhynchidae. The transcript has a single exon.
GACAGUCUUUGCUACUGUAAACAUCCUUGACUGGAAGCUGGAAGGUGCCGAAGGAGCUUUCAGUCGGAUGUUUACAGCGGCAGGCUGCCACAGUC